This 533-nucleotide ribosomal RNA is filed under the name Bifidobacterium breve. RNAcentral describes it as "bacterial SSU rRNA". It matches the Rfam family "Bacterial small subunit ribosomal RNA", at positions 159 to 702 of the family's 1533-position model. The record is from RNAcentral. Lineage: Bacteria; Bacillati; Actinomycetota; Actinomycetes; Bifidobacteriales; Bifidobacteriaceae.
GGUGGUAAUGCCGGAUGCUCCAGUUGAUCGCAUGGUCUUCUGGGAAAGCCUUUGCGGCAUGGGAUGGGGUCGCGUCCUAUCAGCUUGAUGGCGGGGUAACGGCCCACCAUGGCUUCGACGGGUAGCCGGCCUGAGAGGGCGACCGGCCACAUUGGGACUGAGAUACGGCCCAGACUCCUACGGGAGGCAGCAGUGGGGAAUAUUGCACAAUGGGCGCAAGCCUGAUGCAGCGACGCCGCGUGAGGGAUGGAGGCCUUCGGGUUGUAAACCUCUUUUGUUAGGGAGCAAGGCACUUUGUGUUGAGUGUACCUUUCGAAUAAGCACCGGCUAACUACGUGCCAGCAGCCGCGGUAAUACGUAGGGUGCAAGCGUUAUCCGGAAUUAUUGGGCGUAAAGGGCUCGUAGGCGGUUCGUCGCGUCCGGUGUGAAAGUCCAUCGCUUAACGGUGGAUCCGCGCCGGGUACGGGCGGGCUUGAGUGCGGUAGGGGAGACUGGAAUUCCCGGUGUAACGGUGGAAUGUGUAGAUAUCGGAA